UACGAAGGAUGCUAGCGUUGUUCGGAAUUACUGGGCGUAAAGCGCGUGUAGGCGGGCCGUUAAGUCGGGGGUGGAAGCCCAGAGCUCAACUCUGGAACUGCCUUCGAUACUGGCGGCCUGGAGCAUGAUAGAGGCGAGUGGAAAUGCGAGUGUAGAGGUGAAAUUCGUAGAUAUUCGCAGGAACACCAGUGGCGAAGUCGACUCGCUGGAUCAUUGCUGACGCUGAGACGCGAAAGCGUGGGGAGCAAACAGG
RNAcentral lists this ribosomal RNA (253 nucleotides) under uncultured bacterium. RNAcentral describes it as "partial 16S ribosomal RNA". It matches the Rfam family "Bacterial small subunit ribosomal RNA", at positions 524 to 776 of the family's 1533-position model. The record is from RNAcentral.